UACGUAGGGUGCGAGCGUUGUCCGGAAUUAUUGGGCGUAAAGAGCUCGUAGGCGGUUUGUUGCGUCUAUCGUGAAAACCUGCGGCUUAACUGUGGGCUUGCGGUGGAUACGGGCAGACUUGAGUUCGGUAGGGGAGACUGGAAUUCCUGGUGUAGCGGUGAAAUGCGCAGAUAUCAGGAGGAACACCGGUGGCGAAGGCGGGUCUCUGGGCCGGUAUUGACGCUGAGGCGCGAAAGCCAGGGGAGCAAACGGG
Molecule: ribosomal RNA, 253 nt
Filed under: uncultured bacterium
Lineage: Bacteria
Description: partial 16S ribosomal RNA
Rfam family: Bacterial small subunit ribosomal RNA
Source: RNAcentral